GCCGCGAAUUCGCCCUUAGGGUUUGAUUAUGGCUCAGAUUGAACGCUGGCGACAGGCCUAACACAUGCAAGUCGAGCGGUAACAGGAGAAAGCUUGCUUUCUUGCUGACGAGCGGCGGACGGGUGAGUAAUGUAUGGGGAUCUGCCCGAUAGAGGGGGGAUAACUACUGGAAACGGUGGCUAACACCGCAUAAUGUCUACGGACCAAAGCAGGGGCUCUUCGGACCUUGCACUAUCGGAUGAACCCAUAUGGGAUUAGCUAGUAGGUGGGGUAAAGGCUCACCUAGGCGACGAUCUCUAGCUGGUCUGAGAGGAUGAUCAGCCACACUGGGACUGAGACACGGCCCAGACUCCUACGGGAGGCAGCAGUGGGGAAUAUUGCACAAUGGGCGCAAGCCUGAUGCAGCCAUGCCGCGUGUAUGAAGAAGGCCUUAGGGUUGUAAAGUACUUUCAGCGGGGAGGAAGGUGAUAAGGUUAAUACCCUUAUCAAUUGACGUUACCCGCAGAAGAAGCACCGGCUAACUCCGUGCCAGCAGCCGCGGUAAUACGGAGGGUGCAAGUGUUAAUCGGAAUUACUGGGCGUAAAGCGCACGCAGGCGGUCAAUUAAGUCAGAUGUGAAAGCCCCGAGCUUAACUUGGGAAUUGCAUCUGAAACUGGCUGGCUAGAGUCUUGUA
Molecule: ribosomal RNA, 674 nt
Filed under: uncultured bacterium
Lineage: Bacteria
Description: partial 16S ribosomal RNA
Rfam family: Bacterial small subunit ribosomal RNA
Source: RNAcentral